This 399-nucleotide ribosomal RNA is filed under the name uncultured bacterium. RNAcentral describes it as "bacterial SSU rRNA". It matches the Rfam family "Bacterial small subunit ribosomal RNA", at positions 29 to 429 of the family's 1533-position model. The record is from RNAcentral.
AUUGAACGCUGGCGGCGUGCUUAACACAUGCAAGUCGUGCGGUAACAGGCGUAGCAAUACGUGCUGACGAGCGGCGAACGGGUGCGUAAUACAUGGGAAUCUGCCUUUUAGUGGGGAAUAACCCGGCGAAAGCCGGGCUAAUGCCGCAUAAGAUCUUCGGAUGAAAGCGGGGGAUCGUAAGACCUCGCGCUGAUAGAUGAGCCCAUGCCGGAUUAGCUAGNGGUGAGGUAACGGCUCACCAAGGCGACGAUCCGUAGCUGGUCUGAGAGGACGGCCAGCCACACUGGGACUGAGACACGGCCCAGACUCCUACGGGAGGCAGCAGUGGGGAAUAUUGGACAAUGGGGGAACCCUGAUCCAGCGACGCCGCGUGUGUGAAGAAGGCCUGCGGGUUGUAAA